RNAcentral lists this unclassified non-coding RNA (389 nucleotides) under soil metagenome. RNAcentral's name for it is "partial contains 5.8S ribosomal RNA, internal transcribed spacer 2, and large subunit ribosomal RNA". The stretch from base 1 to 122 matches the Rfam family "5.8S ribosomal RNA", at positions 35 to 154 of the family's 154-position model. The record is from RNAcentral.
GAUGAAGAACGUAGCGAAAUGCGAUACUUGUUGUGAAUUGCAGAAUCCCGCGAAUCAUCGAGUUUUUGAACGCAAGUUGCGCCCGAAGCCAUUCGGCCGAGGGCACGUCUGCCUGGGUGUCACGCAUCGUUGCCCCCCCAAACUCCGGUUCGGGCGGGGCGGAAGUUGGCCUCCCGUGCGUGCCUGCGCGCGCGGUUAGCCCAAAAGCGAGUCCUCGGCGACGAGCGCCACGACAAUCGGUGGUUUUUUUACCCUCGUUCCUCGUCGUGCGUGCCCCGUCGCCCGAACGCGCUCUUGCGACCCUCACGCGUCGCCUCGGCGGCGCUCCCAACGCGACCCCAGGUCAGGCGGGACUACCCGCUGAGUUUAAGCAUAUCAUAAGCGGAGGA